GACGAACGCUGGCGGCGUGCUUAACACAUGCAAGUCGAACGGAAAGGCCCUGCUUUUGUGGGGUGCUCGAGUGGCGAACGGGUGAGUAACACGUGAGUAACCUGCCCUUGACUUUGGGAUAACUUCAGGAAACUGGGGCUAAUACCGGAUAGGAGCUCCUGCUGCAUGGUGGGGGUUGGAAAGUUUCGGCGGUUGGGGAUGGACUCGCGGCUUAUCAGCUUGUUGGUGGGGUAGUGGCUUACCAAGGCUUUGACGGGUAGCCGGCCUGAGAGGGUGACCGGCCACAUUGGGACUGAGGUACGGCCCAGACUACUACGGGAGGCAGCAGUGGGGAAUAUUGCACAAUGGGCGGAAGCCUGAUGCAGCAACGCCGCGUGCGGGAUGACGGCCUUCGGGUUGUAAACCGCUUUCGCAUGUGACGAAGCGUGAGUGACGGUAAUGGGUAAAGAAGCACCGGCUAACUACGUG
RNAcentral lists this ribosomal RNA (468 nucleotides) under uncultured bacterium. RNAcentral's name for it is "partial 16S ribosomal RNA". It matches the Rfam family "Bacterial small subunit ribosomal RNA", at positions 28 to 507 of the family's 1533-position model. The record is from RNAcentral.